This 374-nucleotide unclassified non-coding RNA is filed under the name Hevea brasiliensis (rubber tree). The record is from RNAcentral. Lineage: Eukaryota; Viridiplantae; Streptophyta; Magnoliopsida; Malpighiales; Euphorbiaceae.
CAGUAAUCUUCAAGAAUGCAAAACAGAGCCAGCACAUUCACUCUCAAACAAACAGCAUAAGUAAUUGGAUGCAUUAGCAGGUUGAUAUGUAAACUGUUACCAUGAUUCUGGGCCAUAUAUAUGCUAUUUUUGCUAAACAUAGAACUUCCUGCAUGUACUUAACAGGGAAUCUACCAAAAUGCGGCUAAUAGAUUUCGAUUGCCUCGCAAAUUUGAGACACUGCAAAUCUCUAAUAAGAAAAUAGAAUUUUGGAAUCUCUUGUAAUGUUAAACAAGAUUAGGCAUUCUUCUUGAAUUAUUUCAUGAUCCUUAAGCAAAUAAAAUCAGCCAACAGUAACAUGCCUUUUAGCAUGUGAAGGUACAACAAGAAAUGCU